RNAcentral lists this ribosomal RNA (358 nucleotides) under Globisporangium ultimum. Its description in RNAcentral is "SSU rRNA". It matches the Rfam family "Eukaryotic small subunit ribosomal RNA", at positions 20 to 378 of the family's 1831-position model. The record is from RNAcentral. Lineage: Eukaryota; Oomycota; Peronosporomycetes; Pythiales; Pythiaceae.
GUAGUCAUACGCUUGUCUCAAAGAUUAAGCCAUGCAUGUCUAAGUAUAAACAAUUUUGUACUGUGAAACUGCGAAUGGCUCAUUAUAUCAGUUAUAGUCUACUCGAUAGUACCUUACUACUUGGAUAACCGUAGUAAUUCUAGAGCUAAUACAUGCACAAAUACCCAACUGCUUGUCGGACGGGUAGCAUUUAUUAGAUUGAAACCAAUGCAGUCUUCGGGCUGGUAUUGUGUUGAGUCAUAAUAACUGUGCGGAUCGCACUCAGUGCGAUAAAUCGAUUGAGUUUCUGCCCUAUCAGCUUUGGAUGGUAGGAUAUGGGCCUACCAUGGCAUUAACGGGUAACGGGGAAUUGGGGUUU